Molecule: ribosomal RNA, 519 nt
Filed under: uncultured eukaryote
Lineage: Eukaryota
Description: SSU rRNA
Rfam family: Eukaryotic small subunit ribosomal RNA
Source: RNAcentral
AGGGCACCACCAGGAGUGGAGCCUGCGGCUUAAUUUGACUCAACACGGGGAAACUCACCCGGCCCGGACACCGUAAGGAUUGACAGAUUGAUAGCUUUUUCAUGAUUCGGUGGAUGGUGGUGCAUGGCCGUUCUUAGUUCGUGGAGCGAUUUGUCUGGUUUAUUCCGAUAACGAGCGAGACUCUGGCCUACUAAAUAGUUGGCGCAUUGCUACUGUGCGCACAACACUUCUUAGAGGGAUUUUCGGUGUUCAGCCGCACGAAAUUGAGCAAUAACAGGUCUGUGAUGCCCUUAGAUGUCCGGGGCUGCACGCGCGCUACACUGGCAAAAUCAGCGUGCUUGUCCUUCCCCGAAAGGGGUUGGUAAACCCGUGAAAAUUUGCCGUGAUUGGGAUCGGACAUUGCAAUUAUUGUCCGUGAACGAGGAAUUCCUUGUAGGGGCGAGUCAUCAACUCGCUCUGAAUACGUCCCUGCCCUUUGUACACACCGCCCGUCGCUGCCCGGGACUGAGCCAUUUCGGG